CCUACGGUGGGCAGCAGUGGGGAAUAUUGGACAAUGGGCGAAAGCCUGAUCCAGCCAUGCCGCGUGUGUGAAGAAGGCCUUCGGGUUGUAAAGCACUUUCAGUGGGGAAGAAAGCCUUGGGGCUAAUACCCUCGAGGAAGGACAUCACCCACAGAAGAAGCACCGGCUAACUCCGUGCCAGCAGCCGCGGUAAUACGGAGGGUGCGAGCGUUAAUCGGAAUUACUGGGCGUAAAGCGCGCGUAGGCGGUCUGAUAAGCCGGUUGUGAAAGCCCCGGGCUCAACCUGGGAACGGCAUCCGGAACUGUCAGGCUAGAGUGCAGGAGAGGAAGGUAGAAUUCCCGGUGUAGCGGUAAAAUGCGUAGAGAUCGGGAGGAAUACCAGUGGCGAAGGCGGCCUUCUGGACUGACACUGACGCUGAGGUGCGAAAGCGUGGGUAGCAAACAGGAUUAGAUACCCUAGUAGUC
This 465-nucleotide ribosomal RNA is filed under the name Vreelandella stevensii. RNAcentral's name for it is "partial 16S ribosomal RNA". It matches the Rfam family "Bacterial small subunit ribosomal RNA", at positions 338 to 795 of the family's 1533-position model. Lineage: Bacteria; Pseudomonadati; Pseudomonadota; Gammaproteobacteria; Oceanospirillales; Halomonadaceae. The record is from RNAcentral.